This 64-nucleotide transfer RNA is filed under the name Gyalostethus monticolens. RNAcentral's name for it is "tRNA-Val". The record is from RNAcentral. Lineage: Eukaryota; Metazoa; Arthropoda; Diplopoda; Polydesmida; Xystodesmidae.
CGUAUCAGAGUUUAUUUUGAAUUUUUCUUUUACACUGAAAGGGUCUCAUGGUUGAGUGAUAUGA